CUUGUUUGUGCUCUAGGAAGUCCCCAAGAGCACAGGAGCCCAGAGACCUCGCAGGAGGAAGCAGCAGUAUCUGUGUUCCAAAUCCUGCCCAGCCCCCAGGCAGCCAUGCCUCCUGCCCCCAACAGGAUUCCUCACAUCCCAGGACCAGCUGGAAAAGGUGGUGAGAGUUGGAAAGAGACUGCUCAGUGAGGACUGCCCUGCGAACCAGCUUGGAUUCAUCCCGUUCACCUCCACGUUCUGCACUCGGGGCCGAGGGAAGGGAGGCAGCCCAGGCAGCUAGAGAACUUGAUGAAACACACUCAAUCUGAAUCUCGCUUGAUCGUCAUGCUGACCCAGUGAGGCCACUCCUCGACUUUUCAGCUCCCGCACGAUUCCUGAAGCAGGAAAAGAAACAGUUCUGUGAGUCUACUCAGGGUCAGGCAUCCUUUCCGACUACUCACUCAGCAGCGGAUCCCCACCCGCCUCUGACUCCCAGUGUCUUUCGGCUCCAACGUAAGUUCACCGAACGUCUAAGAGCUGAGGAUUCAAAGGCAUGUAAGACCGCCCCUGCCCUCAGCUGCAAGACCUGUCCGCGAUCCUACGAGCCCCAUUCCGCCCUCUUUCCCCGACCUUGGUCCCCCAUGGGCCCUACAACCAGGUCCCCGACUGACACCUUGACCAGCGAACACAGCAAACAGGCCCGCAGAUGCCGCAGGUCCUUCGGCACCGUCUCCAGGGCCAUCUUCGCCGAUGGGAAGAACAACAGGGAGAUAGACGACCACAGCCUGUGCACCCGCAGGAAGUAAAUAGCUCGUUACCCAGAAUGCCCACCACUUCCGGCGCUUAGACUUCCUCUUCCGGUGUGGGCGGACGCCAGCUCCGCCCCUACCCCCGCCAGAGGAGAUGGUUUCUCCCGCCAGCAGGCGGGGAGGCUGGGCGGCCGGCCGCCACCUGGGCCGGAGCGCGUCGCAGCCACCUGAGCCCGCCGAGGGCGCGGCGGAGGCUGUGUGGGGUAGUCAGCGGGCCCCCGGGGCGGGGGGGCGGCUGCGCUUGCGCGGGAGUGUGUCGGGCUGAGCCGCAGCGCCGAGACGCGGGCUGUUUGAUCUGGGCUGGUGGCCCUGGGCGUCGGUCCUGUUCCCCGAUGGUAACCCGAAGUUUGUUUUUUUUUGUUUUGUCUCCCCGUUUUAGAAGCAUUGGGGGCAGUGAAUCCACUGUCUCCCUCUGGAUUGUCUCUGCAGAGACCGAGAAGAAAUCCAGGGACAGCCCCACCCCUCCUUCCUAACUGCGAGAGCGCUAUAGGGUUUCCACUUGCUUCCCACAGGAAUGCUGGCCUGGGAGCUACGGCGGAAAAAAAUGCGUAUUUAUCUUUUAAAACUCCGUCUGUUUGCUCGUUCCGGCUGAUAAUUUAUACUUUGCGCAGUUCUUAGCGCUUAGACACGGUUCCUUUACUAAAGACCAUUUGUAGGAGAUUAGGUGUCCUUUUUUUCCCUUUCAUUUCACCGUCUAGGAAGCGAAAUGCCUUGUUCUAUAGGCACUAAACCACCACCCCUACCAAACCUUUCUCGGGGAAGCAGAAGGGGAACUUGUGCCUUGUGAGGAAGCGACAAAGGCCCCUUCUGGCCCUGGAGACUUCACGCCAAUGGAGCACCAGCUCUCUGUCCUCGCAAUAGCCCGAGUGCAGGCAGAACGCAGUCAUUUGUGUUUAUCUGAGAGGAGCUUUGGGAUAUAAAUAGUUUCAGGCCCCGCUGCGCUGUCAUUCCAGCCCAGCCUCCUGAUUGAGCUGCUUCCGGGCGGGCUUUCUUCUUGUUGGCGGUCCCAUGCUGUGUUCAGAUGGGCUCUGUGACAGGUUUGGAUGUUUUCUAUCACUGAAUAAAACUUUCCACUUUGGAACAUAUUUUCUACACUCUAUUAUCUCAUGUAAGUCCUGCAACAACUAUUAAGUAGGCCCAUUUUAUGGACUGAAAAAGCGAGGCACAGAGUAUUUGCCCAAGGUCUGAGUCACUGAAGUAUGAUAAUGUGUGAAGUGAACAGUAUAAUAAUAAUGACUGAAGCACAGUAAGAAUCCAGUCAUGCUUUCUCCUUCCCUGAUCUCACUAAGCCACACUUUUAGGGGCUUACAAACCAGUUCUUAUUGCCAAGCCCUCUACUCUACCCUAUCCUUUCAUGAAUCGGAGCCUAGCCUCUGAUAACAUAAAUAAUUUACUUCUCUUGAUGUAGAAAGAGAUGACGUUGUUACCCUGAGUGACAGUCACGACAGAACAAAACCACAAGACCAGACCACAUUUGUGGAUAAAUAUAUUAGCAAAUAAAUAUAUUUCUUAACAUAGUGCCUGAUUCAAGCGUCUGUCUGGUUCAGAUAUAAAUACCCAUGUGGGUACCUAGGUGCUAGUCUCCCCACUAACUGAGGGAAAAAGGUUCCCAGGUGGGGUCCUCUGCCCACUUUGCCACCACAUUCACAUUCCAAAUGGGAUAAUGCCUGAGGGGCCAAGAGUGGUCAGGCUGCCCUGGGGUGAAUGUCACCCUGAUGAGGCCCAUCAGCUCUUGUCCACUCAGUGAGGCCAGACUUGUGCUCUAAUCCACUCUCCUGUGGGUCCCUGGCCUGUAUGGCUUAUACUGGGG
RNAcentral lists this long non-coding RNA (2598 nucleotides) under Homo sapiens (human). Its description in RNAcentral is "PREDICTED lncRNA (TCONS_00111498)". Lineage: Eukaryota; Metazoa; Chordata; Mammalia; Primates; Hominidae. The record is from RNAcentral.